UCCUGGCUCAGGAUGAACGCUAGCGACAGGCUAACACAUGCAAGUCGAGGGGCAUCACGGGAGUAGCAAUACAACUGGUGGCGACCGGCGCACGGGUGAGUAACGCGUAUGCAACCUACCUAUCAGAGGGGAAUAACCCGGCGAAAGCCGGACUAAUACCGCAUAAAACAGGGGCACCGCAUGGUGAUAUUUGUUAAAGAAAUUCGCUGAUAGAUGGGCAUGCGUUCCAUUAGGUAGUUGGUGAGGUAACGGCUCACCAAGCCGACGAUGGAUAGGGGAACUGAGAGGUUGGUCCCCCACACUGGUACUGAGACACGGACCAGACUCCUACGGGAGGCAGCAGUGAGGAAUAUUGGUCAAUGGGCGGGAGCCUGAACCAGCCAAGUCGCCGUGAAGGAAGAAGGAUCUAUGGUUCGUAAACUUCUUUUGCAGGGGAAUAAAGUGCAGGACGUGUCCUGUUUUGUAUGUACCCUGAGAAUAAGGAUCGGCUAACUCCGUGCCAGCAGCGGC
This 510-nucleotide ribosomal RNA is filed under the name uncultured bacterium. RNAcentral's name for it is "bacterial SSU rRNA". It matches the Rfam family "Bacterial small subunit ribosomal RNA", at positions 17 to 518 of the family's 1533-position model. The record is from RNAcentral.